Molecule: ribosomal RNA, 492 nt
Filed under: uncultured bacterium
Lineage: Bacteria
Description: partial 16S ribosomal RNA
Rfam family: Bacterial small subunit ribosomal RNA
Source: RNAcentral
AUUGAACGCUGGCGGCAUGCUUUACACAUGCAAGUCGAACGGUAACAGGCCUUCGGGUGCUGACGAGUGGCGAACGGGUGAGUAAUGCAUCGGAACGUACCCAGAGGUGGGGGAUAACGCAGCGAAAGCUGUGCUAAUACCGCAUGUGAUCUGAGGAUGAAAGCGGGGGACCGCGCAGCAAUGUUUGGCCUCGCGCCUUUGGAGCGGCCGAUGUCGGAUUAGCUAGUUGGUGGGGUAAAGGCCUACCAAGGCGACGAUCCGUAGCUGGUCUGAGGGGACGACCAGCCACACUGGGACUGAGACACGGCCCAGACUCCUACGGGAGGCAGCAGUGGGGAAUUUUGGACAAUGGGCGCAAGCCUGAUCCAGCAAUGCCGCGUGCGGGAAGAAGGCCUUCGGGUUGUAAACCGCUUUUGGCAGGAACGAAACGGUGUCCGCUAAUACCGGGCGCUAAUGACGGUACCUGCAGAAUAAGCACCGGCUAACUACGUG